Setaria italica (foxtail millet) is the source of this 3680-nucleotide long non-coding RNA. RefSeq lists it as uncharacterized. The record is from RefSeq and is a predicted model, not a curated record. The transcript has 4 exons. Lineage: Eukaryota; Viridiplantae; Streptophyta; Magnoliopsida; Poales; Poaceae.
UGCCGCCGUUCCGACUCCCGAAAAAAAAAACGCAUCUCCCCGUCCGCUCGGCCGUCGCCCAGCACCGCUCCGCCUUCUGGCCAUCGCCGCCGCCUCCCCACCGCUGCCAUGCCCCGAUCCCUCUAUGAUGUGCCUCCUGUGGUACUCCAUCCUCCUUCUCCUUCCUGCAGUGCGCCGCCCCUUCCAGCGUCGUCGUUCUCGUCCUCUCCUAGCGCCCUCCCCACCCAUGGCUGUCGUUCGAGAUCUGUCCUUGCCAGCUGCCUGCCUUUAUCGCUGUCCCGUUCUGCGAUUGGAAUGGCACCUGCCGGGCACGCCACUCUCCUAUUGCGGCAACAAUGGAUACCUGUGAAUAGCAUUAGAUAGUGAUGAUGCCCGUCUUUGCAGUCAUGUGGUCAGCUUUGUCCUCCGGCAAUCGAACAGCAGCGGAACUAAAGCCGUGGAACAAGAGUGUAACCUGUCCUGUUUCUUUGUGUUUGAAUCUCAUCAAUUGCCAAUACUCAAUAUGGAGAUUGUUGGUCUGUGAAUUUGUGGACAAAAAGUGCAGUUCAAAGUGUUGUGAUGUAAGUUUUUGAUAUAUACAGCAACAAUGCCUAGAUUUAAAACUUGAGGUAAUCAAGAGCAUAACUUAACUAUAAUUGAAAAGAACAACACUACAAAAAAAAUCUAAUGUCCUCUCUUUGCAGUUACUAUAUCAAGGCAAGAGUUUCUUUUCCUUAUUUGUAGUUAAAUUCCAAAUGCUAUUGCACAUUAGAGGCUAUGACAUACAUGUUUGAAUCUAGGUUCAGAGAAAUAUUUGCAUACUUCAAGUGAUUAAGAAAGUUUUCAAGUAUCAUAUAUAUCUGACCUUUAGGCCUGAGGCUUCAUGAUUUUGUUCUGGCCAAGGAAUUGGUUCAACUUCAUGAAGCCAUGCUCAACCCUUAAGUGAGGAAUAGGAAUUCUUCUUUGGUAAGUUACAUACGUAAAGAUUUUGUAUAACAAUACUUUACAUCUAUAUAUUUUGUCUGUGUGCUAGCUUGGAAUUCAGUUUGUGCUCAUAAUAUGGCCAAUUUAUUCCUGUAGCCCGCACAAUCAGCUUAUGCAAUUGCAUGAUGUUUCAUGAUUUCUGAAAACCUGUGUAAGCACACAACAAAAUGGUCAACUAGAAUUUUUUUAAGAUGCAGUCCGCUACAUGCUGAUUCUGUGGCUACACAAUGGUGCGCCACUUUAAUCUCUCCAACAGCCCCAUUGGAUAACUGAUGAAUUGUGCAUUUGAAGUAAAAUUUGCAGCUACUAGAGCCCCAAUCCAUCAGGUAACCCACGCCCUUGUUUAUUCAUGGCCUCUUUCUCAAUCAUUUCUUCUCCUUCAUCCAUUAACACAUACCCUAUUUUCUUGCUACAAUAAAUUUAUCAAGCACUUGAUUGGUUAAAAAUAGGGAUCAAAGACAUUGGCUUCCACUAGCAAUUGGAUGAUGAGAAUGGAGAAGCAAGUGCUCAUUGUUGAGACCUAGGUGUGGAGAUGAGAUCUGAUUUUCAUGGAGUUAAUUCACAAAAAGUUCGAUUAGCAGUUCACUUGUGCUUAUUGUCUGCAUAUUUAGUUUGUUCCACCCCAUGGAUUACAUUGUAUAGCACUGAUAAGGUUUUAUGGGGGUGAUCAGAUUAUGAUGGACUUAUUCUGCACAAAAGUUUGAUUAGGUAGCAGCUCAUCUAUGUUUAUUAUAUGUACACUAUGUCUGCCCCAUGGAUUAGAAUAUAGAGCAUGAAUAAGAUUUCAUAUAAAUGUCAUGCUCCAAAUUUUUGAACCCAUACUAUACAAAGCGAUCAGUUUUCAGUCUGACAUUUUACCAGUUUUCGUUGCCUCAAUGAACCAGGAUUAGGUAUGACUCAUACUGAAAUAAUCACACGUUCGGAACCAGGAAAGAAACCAGCACGUUAACCGUUACAAAUAAUUGUUUUUUUAUUAUUUCCCUAUUUUAUACUUGCUAGUGUUCCUACAAUGUGUUUCGUAAUACAUCAGAAUUAACUUGGGAAUUUAAAACUAGCUUUAAUUGCCACCAUAUUAUCUGAAAUUACAGAAGCAUGAUGGAGGAACAUGUGCAAAUUAUAGCGAUUGAAUGUGCAACUGUGGCAUCGCAAAUUAUGUUUUCCCCUUAAUUUUUAUUCUACAUGGUACCUAACAUUCCUCUGCUCAUUGUUCUUAUUUUUAAGGUCAUGAUCUGCAUACAUUCAGGCAUUCACAUGGAUAUGGGAAGCGUUCGUGAUAGCUGACCAUAUUGCGCAGCAUUAUGCAGCGAUACAGAGAUUUUUUUUUUCAAAAUAACAGGCCAAUACUGUCCAGGCUUACCUUUUCACCAAGGAACCAAUAAAGUGUAAAAUUGCACAUGAAGAGAUGCCCAAGAAAUACUUUGCUACUAUAUCAUGCAAACUGUGAGACGAAAACUUGGUACUGGUGUGUAGUGUGGUGAACAUGCUUUCAGCAAGAAGGAAUGCAAAGAUCUAAAUGUACUUGGUUUAUUUGCAUAGUGCAAUUGGCUCUUGUGAAUUUUGAUUGUUCAACUAAAGCUUCAAGUUUCCUCAUGAAAAUGGUACAAUAUUGUCGAGAUAUUGUUUUUUUAACAAAAUAUUAUGUUGCAAUAACAUCUUACUCAGUAAUAGAAUUGCAAAUCACUAGUGAACUUUACACUAGGUGGCCAACUUUUGCUACGGCCGUGCCUCACGCGUCACGCCCCGCCUGACAUGCUUGAACCGCGAUCUCGAUCCGGUCGUGGAUCCACCUCGCCGGUCCGGCACUCCGCGCGCGCGUCGUGCAUGGUGGUAUAUCGCGCGCCCAUGGCAGAUGGCACCGGCGCACCGCGCGCUGCUGAAGAGGUUGGCCGGUGGUAAACCGAUCGGAAGUCUUUGUGGCUGCAUGCAGUUUUUCGUUCGGAAGACCCAGUAGUGGAACUUGACAAACAUGCAGUCUCGUCUACCGCAGUGUCGAGUCGCGCACGUCGCGUAAUUAAGAAGAAGAAACAUCCAGAUAACAGUUAUUGUGCAAGCCUAGCUGGCAAGCUACUGAAACUGCACCAGUUUGAAAGGAUGGCCAUGUCGAUCAGCAAGUCAUUCGUUCUGCCACUGUUGAUGGCGGUGCUGAUGCUGUUGGCCGUUUCAGGGUCGGCGCGGCGGCUGGAAGGUGAUCGGUCGACCGGCGGCGAGGCUGCCUUCGGAGUCGGCCAUCCUAUCAUACAGUUCCUCAAACGCCUGUACCUGCAGCAACUGUCGUCAGGUCCAGGGGGAUCCUGCGGAACCUACGACCCAAACAACCCAGCAUGCCAUGGUCACUGAACAAUCAUCAGGCAUUGCAUACCAAACAUGGCAAUUCAACAGAUUGACCGAGCCUGUGUAUGUACAUAUACACGUAUACACAAUUAUACUUCUCUCUGUCACAGUGAUGGUAUUCCAUACUCAGAUAGAACGACAACGAGAUGGGCUAAGUUUAUAUUUGAUUAGUUUAUUGUUAAGUCAAUGAAUUGUGUUUAUCUGAAUAAAGUGGUAGGCUUAGCUUGUUUUUAACUUUUUAUCUGCAUGUAUACUUGUUUCUCAAUCGUUUCAAUAGUUUUGUAUACGGAAUAAGUCAUGUGAAUGAAUGAGUUUCACAAUCAUUUCAACAGUUUUUGUAUACGGAAUAUGUCAUGUGAAUGAAUGGGUUUCAAUUAACGGGAGUA